This 460-nucleotide ribosomal RNA is filed under the name uncultured bacterium. RNAcentral describes it as "partial 16S ribosomal RNA". It matches the Rfam family "Bacterial small subunit ribosomal RNA", at positions 338 to 795 of the family's 1533-position model. The record is from RNAcentral.
CCUACGGGUGGCAGCAGUGAGGAAUAUUGGUCAAUGGACGAGAGUCUGAACCAGCAAAGCAGCGUGAAGGAUGACUGCCCUAUGGGUUGUAAACUUCUUUUAUAUGGGAAUAAAAUGUUAAACGUGUGGGAUUUUGUAUGUACCAUAUGAAUAAGGAUCGGAUAGCUCAGUGCCAGCAGCCGGGGUAAUACGGAGGAUCCGGGCGUUAUCCGGAUUUAUUGGGUUUAAAGGGAUCGUAGGUGGAUUGUUAAGUCAGUUGUUAAAGUUUGCGGCUUAACCGUAAAAUUGCAGUUGAAACUGGCAGUCUCGAGUACAGUAGAGGUGGGCGGAAUUCGUGGUGUAGCGGUGAAAUGCUUAGAUAUCACGAAGAACUCCGAUUGCGAAGGCAGCUCACUGGACUGCAACUGACACUGAGGCUCGAAAGUGUGGGUAUCAAACAGGAUUAGAUACCCUAGUAGUC